Molecule: ribosomal RNA, 497 nt
Filed under: uncultured bacterium
Lineage: Bacteria
Description: partial 16S ribosomal RNA
Rfam family: Bacterial small subunit ribosomal RNA
Source: RNAcentral
GAUGAACGCUGGCGGCGUGCCUAAUACAUGCAAGUCGAGCGAACAGACGAGGAGCUUGCUCCUCUGACGUUAGCGGCGGACGGGUGAGUAACACGUGGAUAACCUACCUAUAAGACUGGGAUAACUUCGGGAAACCGGAGCUAAUACCGGAUAAUAUAUUGAACCGCAUGGUUCAAUAGUGAAAGACGGUUUUGCUGUCACUUAUAGAUGGAUCCGCGCCGCAUUAGCUAGUUGGUAAGGUAACGGCUUACCAAGGCGACGAUGCGUAGCCGACCUGAGAGGGGGGUCGGCCACACUGGAACUGAGACACGGUCCAGACUCCGACGGUAGGCAGCAGUAGGGAAUCUUCCGCAAUGGGCGAAAGGGGGACGGAGCAAAGUCGCGUGAGGGAUGAAGGUCUUCGGAUCGUAAAACUCUGUUAUUAGGGAAGAACAAAUGUGUAAGUAACUAUGCACGUCUUGACGGUACCUAAUCAGAAAGCCACGGCUAACUACGUG